GGAACUACAUGAUCCUUGAGGUCCCUUCCAACCCGGGUGAUUCUGUGAUUCUGUGAUUCUGUGAUUAAGCUAAUAAACUCUGAUCACCUGCAAGAGGCUUUCUGAGAAAUAGCAAUUAUAAUAUGGUGUUGCGUAACUAAUUUUUCUGUGGUUGUUUUGUUCCUGAUUUGCCUACAGUAGGCAGGACUUGGCACCUCAGUGAGUUUAUAGUGCUUUAGGAAACAUGCAUUACAUACUUUAAUUACAUAGACACGUUUUACAUAUGGACUUGUAUUACUCACUUCCACCACUCUGUUUUCAGAGAAACUGGUGAGAUCCAGAAGCUCACUAGAUCUCUGUACUUUUUUGUUACAAUAAUGUCUGGAUUCUCAGUUCCCAUUUAGUUGUGAUGGCAGUGCAGUGUUUGGGAAGCAUGCAGCCAGCUGACUUGUUCUUCUCGAUCUGGGUUUUGUCUCACGGUGGUCGUGUUUUUACCUUUGUAUAAUCAGUAGUCUUCAUUAGGGAGGAAGUCUUGUGAAGGAAAUGUUGGUCACUGUCAGUGAGUCGCUCUGCAGCUCUUGCAGCCCACCCAGCAUGCCUUUUGCAGCUCAGCUUGUUGCCAAGGCGUUCAGAAAGAGCCGAGUUGGGUGCUAAGUCGUAAAUGAAGCUGCAUGUUUCAGUUGGGACCUUGUGCUGUAUCUUGCUGUUGAUAAUAAAUAUUGAAAGCUUGGCCUAAGGCAGUACAAGACUGUACUGCUUCUCCUUUAGCGUGUUAAGGUUACAGACCACCAAGGGCAAUAUCAGAAUGAAGCUUUGCUUUAGCAAGCUGUGGUGGUAGCCCCGCACGGCCUCCUGCACGAUCCGCCUCCUGCCUUUCCUGUUGGCCAUACCUGACUAUUCCGUCAUUUCGUUGGCUGCCGCCGCCGCCUGUUAUAAGCAUGCCCCGCCUCCGACCUUUCUUCCGGGAGAGCCCCGCCCGCCCCUUCGCCUCUGCGGAGCCAAUUGGCUGCCCUGGCCGUUACUUAAGGCUUGGGCGGAGGGGCAAUUAGGCGAAUGAGGCUACGCGGGGUGUCUGCACCGCGCGUGCGCGGUCCGAGUGAGGUGAGUCGGGGUAACAGGCGUGCGGAGGCGUGGCGCCAUUCGGCGCGACGGACAGCAGCUAGGGUGUGCGUCACGUGACCAGGGGAGCCGGCUGUACGGGGCUGAGGAGACACAGUGCAGCUGCGCGGCUGCUGGAAGGCCUGGGGGGGCCUCUGGGCUGAGCCCGAGCUGGGGCAGUUGCUACCACGCGCUGCCUGUGCCUGAUGCGCCGUGACCUGCGCGCCGCGUCUGCCGCCGUGGCCACCAUCACCGCUGCCACCUGCUGCCUGACAUCCGCGGAGAGCUGUGAGAGGGGAACGCCAGCGGAGUGGUGUUGGCAGCCACAGGGAGCUCCUGGCGUCAUCGUUGCAGUGUUGCUGUCACUGACCUCCAGCACUGUGUCCGAUGGACUUGGGGGUUGUGGUUGUCGCUGAUGGCGUUCUCGCUGUCGCUGCGUUUCAAGUGCUGUGUCCCCUUGAGCUGAUUCUGCCAUCGGCUGUGCCCCUGUGCUCAGUCUUAGGGGAGUGGUUUUGUGAAGGGCACAGUGGGAUUGCUUUCAUAAAGAUUCUGGACCUCGGUUUCCUGCCCAUAUCCAAAUUAGAAUGAAAAACAGUAUUAAGAUUCAUCUUUUGAGAAAGAACCUCUGAGCACUUGUAGCUGGCAGUGCUUUGAUAUUCUAGAUAACUAGAAUAAAGCUGGGUGAUGCUGACUGAUAGCAUCAGUUGUGAGCAUGCUCUACAGAAAGCUUCCUUUUGUGGGAGUGAGGAAACAAAAUGUGUGGGGUUAUUAUGGGGUUACUGGAGUCUAGGAUUCUAGAGUCUGAGGAUUGUAUGAGGAUGCUACGAGGAUACUAGCUCCUGUGAGUGCAAGUUCUGUUAUUUCAGAUCCUGUGAUUGUUUCCCAGUUCUAGAUUCUUUGAUUCUGUGAUGAUUCUGGGCUUCAAAUGUGUGGUGAUUCUGAUUCCUCACUAAAAGUAGAGACUCCCAGAUUUGUAGCUAUGCAAUACAAUUCAUUUCCAUAUCCACCCCUUUGCAUACCGUGUGGCAUAGUUCUGAGUGCCUGAUGCAAACCCAAGCAAAAUCAAUUUCUGUAGGUUAUUAAAAAAAAUAAUAAUGAAAAUAAAAUCUUUGCUGUUGUU
Lagopus leucura (white-tailed ptarmigan) is the source of this 2197-nucleotide long non-coding RNA. RefSeq lists it as uncharacterized. The transcript is spliced from 2 exons. Lineage: Eukaryota; Metazoa; Chordata; Aves; Galliformes; Phasianidae. The record is from RefSeq and is a predicted model, not a curated record.